GUAACGCGUACGAAACCUACCUUUAAGAGAGGGAUAGCCCUGGGAAACUGGGAGUAAUACCUCAUAGUAUUCAUUGACUGCAUGGUUGAUGGAUUAAAGCUGCGGCGCUUAAAGAUGGUCGUGCGUCUGAUUAGCUAGUUGGUAGGGUAACGGCCUACCAAGGCUACGAUCAGUAGGGGGCGUGAGAGCGUGGCCCCCCACACGGGUACUGAGACACGGACCCGACUCCUACGGGAGGCAGCAGUAAGGAAUAUUGGGCAAUGGACGCAAGUCUGACCCAGCCAUCCCGCGUGCAGGACGAAUGCCCUAUGGGUUGUAAACUGCUUUUGUUUGGGAAGAAAUGUAUUCUUUUAAGAGUAUUUGACGGUACCAGACGAAUAAGCACCGGCUAACUCCGUGCCAGCAGCCGCGGUAAUACGGAGGGCGCAAGCGUUAUCCGGAAUCACUGGGUUUAAAGGGUGCGUGGGCGGCCAGAUAAGUCAGAGGUGAAAGUUUCCGGCUCAACCGGGAGAUUGCCUUUGAUACUGUUUGGCUUGAAUCAGAUUGAGGUUGGCGGAAUGUGACAUGUAGCGGUGAAAUGCAUAGAUAUGUCAUAGAACAUCGAUUGCGAAGGCAGCUGGCUGGAUCUGUAUUGACGCUGAGGCA
RNAcentral lists this ribosomal RNA (645 nucleotides) under uncultured bacterium. RNAcentral describes it as "bacterial SSU rRNA". It matches the Rfam family "Bacterial small subunit ribosomal RNA", at positions 110 to 753 of the family's 1533-position model. The record is from RNAcentral.